AAGUCGUAACAAGGUUUCCGUAGGUGAACCUGCGGAAGGAUCAUUACCGAGUUACUGGUUGCUAUUUUAUAGCACCAACUCCCACCCUUAUGUUUAUUAUAAUUUGUCGUCUUUGGCAAAGCGUUUUGGCUUUUGCUAAUCCACUGACAGCGAAAACUGUGAGUGAGUCUUUGCCAAAGUUUAACUCUUAAUACUUUUUAUGGCUGUCUGAGUUUAUAAAGAAAUGAAUCAAAACUUUCAACAACGGAUCUCUUGGUUCUG
Molecule: unclassified non-coding RNA, 261 nt
Filed under: fungal sp.
Lineage: Eukaryota; Fungi
Description: partial internal transcribed spacer region
Rfam family: Eukaryotic small subunit ribosomal RNA (bases 1-46)
Source: RNAcentral